AGAGGUCUGGCUCACGGGGUCUGAGUCACCAAGUUGUUCCUGAGUUCAGAGAUGGUUUGACUCUUGAAAACUUAGGAAGAACAGCCUGAGACCCUGAAGGAGGGCUCCUGUGUAGAGUGGGCCUAAGGGAUGGACACAUCCCAGCCUCUAAGGAAGGAGCUGCCGCAAACACAGUUUGACCUGCUCCCUGCCCUCAGCCUCCACCAAGGAGGAACUGCCUCAUGUCGCUCUGGACCUGAGUGUGGGACAACUGCUGCCAUUUUUACAGAAGCUUCAGGAUGGGGCUGGAGUCUCUGAGGACCCAGGAGAUGGUCCUGCCCCCAGCUCGCCACUGCCCACUCCUCACCAAUGGCUACUACGCGCUGUGCCCCAGAGCUUCCAAUUCAGACCUGAGUUUGGAGGAGAACCUAGUGUCUUGGCUGCCUUCAAAGGCAUGGCCAUGUUUCUUAUGCUGUGCAAAGAGCAGACGCGAGGGAGGGAGUCCUGAAAGCCACAGAUGCCAAGUUUAAGAAACUUCCGGCUGCGGAGACGGCUCAUUCAGUAGAGCUUGCUGCACUAACACAAGGAUCUCACGUUUAAGUUUGCAUCUCAGAAAGCAUAAAAAGCUGGGUGUGGUGGUGCAUGCUUGUAAAUCCCAGCACGACGGGAGAGGUGGAGACAGGCAGACCCCUGGAACUGCUAUCCAACCAACCUAUCCUACUUGGCACACAUCAGGCCGAUAGAGACACUGUCCCAAAACUCAUGGUGAAUGGCUCUUGAGGACAUUUGAGACUGACCUCUGGCCCCUGCACAAAGGAGCACACAUGUGCACCUAUGUAUGCAUAAAACACACACACACACACACACACACACACACACACACACCCCUCUUAACAGCAUCCUAACAAUGACUUGAGAGUACAGGUUAAUUCAAGUCCCAGUUCUGACUCUGGCAUGCUGUGUGAACUUGGACAAGUUAUUGAACCUCUCUGUUCCAAUUGAUCAGUAAAAUGGAUAUUGUAACGGUAUUCUCUUCAUAGUGUUGCUGGCAACGCUGAGAGUAAGUGAACUAGAUUUCUAAGGAUUGGUACUCCACAAUAGUUCCCGACAGUAGGUAGCCAGCAUUCACGCUGCGGGAGGAGCUUGCUAAGACUCCUCUCUUGCCAUUCACUUCUUGCUGGAGGUUUGAAAGGCUGCUCUCCAGGACUCAGAGGCUCCCGCGAGGAUAGCAAAGGAUUUGAAUAGAAACGGCGGAUGCUGUAAAAACAGUAAGAUGAACAGUCAGAGCAGCAUCUGCACUGUACUCCUCCUGAGCGCUACUGCCCAGACCGACAGACUAAGGCUCCAACAUCUCAGCUGCUACUCGCUGGUUGUACUCAGCGACUGACACCAUAAUCCAUAAUCUCACCUGGAGGGUCUUGAGGACAAAGUCUAAAUUCCUCCCUGGGCUCUCAAAGCAUCUUUUAGGAGACAGGUCUCCGGGGUCGUCACAUAAUCUGCACCUUGUAUCGCGGAAGUGGCAAAAGCAGUAACCUACAUUCCUGUUACCUGGAAACGCAUAUCACAGAAAGAGUGGCUCCAAGCAGGAAGUGACUUGUGGGCCUCAGAAGGGCUUGAAUACCUCUCUUGUGUCUGGAACCCAGAAGCGGGCCAACUGGUACAGCGACCACACGGAUUGCAGGCUGUCCUUUUUUCACAGGUAGGGGAGGGAGACCCUCCAAACUUUCCCUCGGGGAAUCCAGAGAAGACAGACUAUAUAGGGAAGAGGGCACAUUUCUAGAGAAAGUCACCAAUACCUGUGGCUAAAUCUCCCUUUGAAUUAACAAGUGAACAAUAUGAAGGACUGGGUUCCCCCACACACACACACACUCCAGGUCCAGAAACCUGUGUAAUCCUCUUGACCCUUCCCCCUUCUCUCAUGAGAAAAGAAACCCCAGGUCUGACAAUAUUCUGGCCUCAGAGCCUGAAAUGAAUGGGCUGUGGGGUUGGGGAAUGAGGGUCUCUGAGGUGAGGUGAGGUGAGGUGAAGACAGCGACAAUCGUCACCUUUUUAUUGCACAUCUGCCAGGAGUCCAGUCAUCUCCUCUCACUCACUGAUUUAAUCCUAAACAUCGAAGGCAACACUGUUCGGAGAACUGAGGCAAGAGAGGCUAAUAGUCACCUCGACCAGGCCCCAGCUGCUAGGUUACAAACUCAAAGGCGUUUCUGGUCCAGGUCCCUCUCACUCCACUUCCCUCGGCUUUGCCAAGAGCCACUCUCUCUGAAGAACAGUGGUUGGUGUAUUCAUGCCGUAGGACAAGGCUGGAGUCGUAGGGUGUUGGAGAUAGAGGCAAAGCCUUCAGGAAUUCCAGAUGUGCCUAGAGACCCCAGAACCAGGCAGAGAGCAUGACAGUCCACGGACACAAGCAUUCAGCCCCUAGGAGGCAUCCAUAAUGCACCCUCUCACCGAGUGGAUGUGGCGGGUACAGGCUGUCGGAGGGAGCUGGUGCCACAGUGGAUGAUGGGACGAACAGUCAGAGAUAAAGCCUCAUUCAGGAUCAGACUCACAUGGCCUCAGCUGUCACUGCUGGGUCCUGGAUGGGAGGAGUUGUGGGGAGGGGAAGCUGGUGACUUAACCCUUCUGGAACCAGCAGGCUGACCCUGACCUUUCUCUCCUAGGGCUGUAUCCUUCCUUCUCUGUGGGUUAGCAUCCCAUCCCAUCAUGGUCUGCCAAUAAAAGAUGCAGGCUCCAAAUCUCUCUUUCUAGUGCUGAUCUUCCUGCUGGGCCAAAGUCAUCUCUGAUGCAACAGGGCCCAACCCGAGUUCCUCAGCUUACCCUAACCUGUUCCUCCUGUGUUGUUUCCUCAAGACGACACUACCACCUCUCAGCUCACACCAGGGCUCCUCAAGUCUCUCUGCUGUUGCCAAUCCAUGCCCCCAGGAGCUACCGAUUGCCUCUAAAGGUAUCUCCACCAGUCCGGUCCACAGUUGCCCGCCCCCCAACUGACCUGAUUCCUCCGCUCUUGUCUAUCCUCCGCUGAAUCCCCUCCAUGUGUUCUCUAAAGCAGCAAAGGAGAGCUCUGGAUUUGAACCUCAGCCUUGUCCUUCCCACCGUGGGAAUGUGGGGAGGGACCUAGCAGUGUUACUCAUUUAACCUGUUCCCUAGAGGAUAGACAGCAUGACUCACACCAGGUAAAAAUAAAGCUAGCACUGCCGGC
Non-coding RNA from Myodes glareolus (Bank vole), 3175 nucleotides. The record is from RefSeq and is a predicted model, not a curated record. Lineage: Eukaryota; Metazoa; Chordata; Mammalia; Rodentia; Cricetidae.